GUCCAGCUGACGAGUCCCAAAUAGAACGGGAUGCGCAUCCUGGAU
Molecule: non-coding RNA, 45 nt
Organism: Schistosoma haematobium
Lineage: Eukaryota; Metazoa; Platyhelminthes; Trematoda; Strigeidida; Schistosomatidae
Source: Rfam